Molecule: long non-coding RNA, 140 nt
Organism: Maniola jurtina (meadow brown)
Lineage: Eukaryota; Metazoa; Arthropoda; Insecta; Lepidoptera; Nymphalidae
Exons: 3
Source: RefSeq, a predicted model, not a curated record
CAUAUACUUUGAAAACUAGAGGGACGUGUGGCCUGGUUGUGGCAACGCAUAUCAAUCGAUAGUGAUUGUUAGGCAACGUUGACCCAAGUCGGUAACUGGAUGGGUUGGGAUUUCGUUUCCUCCGCGGCUCGGAGAGCACG